This 253-nucleotide ribosomal RNA is filed under the name uncultured bacterium. RNAcentral describes it as "partial 16S ribosomal RNA". It matches the Rfam family "Bacterial small subunit ribosomal RNA", at positions 524 to 776 of the family's 1533-position model. The record is from RNAcentral.
GACGUAGGAGGCGAGCGUUGUCCGGAUUCAUUGGGCGUAAAGAGCGCGCAGGCGGCUUGGUAAGUCGGAUGUGAAAUCCCGAGGCUCAACCUCGGGUCUGCAUCCGAUACUGCCCGGCUAGAGGUAGGUAGGGGAGAUCGGAAUUCCUGGUGUAGCGGUGAAAUGCGCAGAUAUCAGGAGGAACACCGGUGGCGAAGGCGGAUCUCUGGGCCUUACCUGACGCUGAGGCGCGAAAGCUAGGGGAGCGAACAGG